Molecule: ribosomal RNA, 1730 nt
Filed under: Salmonella enterica
Lineage: Bacteria; Pseudomonadati; Pseudomonadota; Gammaproteobacteria; Enterobacterales; Enterobacteriaceae
Also listed under: 1 other name
Description: partial 23S ribosomal RNA
Rfam family: Bacterial large subunit ribosomal RNA
Source: RNAcentral
CAAGACAACUUUACGGAGUUGACGAUUGACGGAGCGAAGCGACGUCAAAGCGUUCAUUAAAGUCGAGUUGGCUUAGGGAUACGUUCGUUGGGUAGGGGAGCGUUCUGUAAGCCUGUGAAGGUGUGUCGUGAGGCAUGCUGGAGGUAUCAGAAGUGCGAAUGCUGACAUAAGUAACGAUAAAGCGGGUGAAAAGCCCGCUCGCCGGAAGACCAAGGGUUCCUGUCCAACGUUAAUCGGGGCAGGGUGAGUCGACCCCUAAGGCGAGGCCGAAAGGCGUAGUCGAUGGGAAACGGGUUAAUAUUCCCGUACUUGGUGUUACUGCGAAGGGGGGACGGAGAAGGCUAUGUUGGCCGGGCGACGGUUGUCCCGGUUUAAGCGUGUAGGUGUGUGUUCCAGGUAAAUCCGGUUCACUUUAACACUGAGGCGUGACGACGAGGCACUACGGUGCUGAAGCAACAAAUGCCCUGCUUCCAGGAAAAGCCUCUAAGCAUCAGGUAACACGAAAUCGUACCCCAAACCGACACAGGUGGUCAGGUAGAGAAUACCAAGGCGCUUGAGAGAACUCGGGUGAAGGAACUAGGCAAAAUGGUGCCGUAACUUCGGGAGAAGGCACGCUGACACGUAGGUGAAGUGAUUUACUCAUGGAGCUGAAGUCAGUCGAAGAUACCAGCUGGCUGCAACUGUUUAUUAAAAACACAGCACUGUGCAAACACGAAAGUGGACGUAUACGGUGUGACGCCUGCCCGGUGCCGGAAGGUUAAUUGAUGGGGUCAGCGCAAGCGAAGCUCCUGAUCGAAGCCCCGGUAAACGGCGGCCGUAACUAUAACGGUCCUAAGGUAGCGAAAUUCCUUGUCGGGUAAGUUCCGACCUGCACGAAUGGCGUAAUGAUGGCCAGGCUGUCUCCACCCGAGACUCAGUGAAAUUGAACUCGCUGUGAAGAUGCAGUGUACCCGCGGCAAGACGGAAAGACCCCGUGAACCUUUACUAUAGCUUGACACUGAACAUUGAGCCUUGAUGUGUAGGAUAGGUGGGAGGCUUUGAAGUGUGGACGCCAGUCUGCAUGGAGCCGACCUUGAAAUACCACCCUUUAAUGUUUGAUGUUCUAACGUGGACCCGUAAUCCGGGUUGCGGACAGUGUCUGGUGGGUAGUUUGACUGGGGCGGUCUCCUCCUAAAGAGUAACGGAGGAGCACGAAGGUUGGCUAAUCCUGGUCGGACAUCAGGAGGUUAGUGCAAUGGCAUAAGCCAGCUUGACUGCGAGCGUGACGGCGCGAGCAGGUGCGAAAGCAGGUCAUAGUGAUCCGGUGGUUCUGAAUGGAAGGGCCAUCGCUCAACGGAUAAAAGGUACUCCGGGGAUAACAGGCUGAUACCGCCCAAGAGUUCAUAUCGACGGCGGUGUUUGGCACCUCGAUGUCGGCUCAUCACAUCCUGGGGCUGAAGUAGGUCCCAAGGGUAUGGCUGUUCGCCAUUUAAAGUGGUACGCGAGCUGGGUUUAGAACGUCGUGAGACAGUUCGGUCCCUAUCUGCCGUGGGCGCUGGAGAACUGAGGGGGGCUGCUCCUAGUACGAGAGGACCGGAGUGGACGCAUCACUGGUGUUCGGGUUGUCAUGCCAAUGGCACUGCCCGGUAGCUAAAUGCGGAAGAGAUAAGUGCUGAAAGCAUCUAAGCACGAAACUUGCCCCGAGAUGAGUUCUCCCUGAGACUUAGAGUCUCCUGAAGGAACGUUGAAGA